RNAcentral lists this ribosomal RNA (292 nucleotides) under uncultured prokaryote. Its description in RNAcentral is "partial 16S ribosomal RNA". It matches the Rfam family "Bacterial small subunit ribosomal RNA", at positions 505 to 796 of the family's 1533-position model. The record is from RNAcentral.
GUGCCAGCAGCCGCGGUAAUACGUAGGGGGCGAGCGUUGUCCGAAUUUACUGGGCGUAAAGCGCGCGUAGGCGGAUAUUUAAGUUGUGGGUGAAAUCCCGAGGCUCAACCUCGGAACUGCCUGCAAAACUGGAUAUCUUGAGGUAUGGAGAGGGAAGUGGAAUUCCUGGUGUAGCGGUGAAAUGCGUAGAUAUCAGGAGGAACACCUGUCGCGAAGGCGGCUUCCUGGCCAUAUCCUGACGCUGAGGUGCGAAAGCCAGGGGAGCGAACGGGAUUAGAUACCCCGGUAGUCC